AGAGUUUGAUCCUGGCUCAGAACGAACGUUGGCGGCGUGGAUUAGGCAUGCAAGUCGAACGAAUCCCGGGGUAGCAAUACCUCGGGGGAAGUGGCGAAAGGGGCAGUAAGGCGUGGGUAACCUACCCCGGAGUCGGGCAUAGCCGUCCUAACGGACGGGUAAUUCCCGAUGGCCCAGCGAGGGGGCAUCUUCUUGCUGGUAAAGAGUUUCGCUCCGGGAGGGGCCCACGUGCUAUUAGCUAGUUGGCGGGGUAACGGCCCACCAAGGCUAAGAUGGCUAGCGGGUGUGAGAGCACGACCCGCGCCACUGGCACUGAGACACUGGCCAGACACCUACGGGUGGCUGCAGUCGAGGAUCUUCGUCAAUGGGCGAAAGCCUGAACGAGCGACGCCGCGUGCGCGAUGAAGGCCUUCGGGUUGUAAAGCGCGAAAGGGAGAUUGAAAAGCCCGCAAGGGUUUGAUCGAUCCCCAGUAAGCUCGGGCUAAGUUCGUGCCAGCAGCCGCGGUAAGACGAACCGAGCGAACGUUGUUCGGAAUCACUGGGCUUAAAGGGCGCGUAAGCGGGCAUUCAGUCCGUGGUGAAAUCCGGCA
Molecule: ribosomal RNA, 590 nt
Filed under: uncultured Planctomycetaceae bacterium
Lineage: Bacteria; Pseudomonadati; Planctomycetota; Planctomycetia; Planctomycetales; Planctomycetaceae
Description: bacterial SSU rRNA
Rfam family: Bacterial small subunit ribosomal RNA
Source: RNAcentral